Molecule: ribosomal RNA, 274 nt
Filed under: uncultured bacterium
Lineage: Bacteria
Description: partial 16S ribosomal RNA
Rfam family: Bacterial small subunit ribosomal RNA
Source: RNAcentral
AUACGAGGGGUGCAAGCGUUAAUCGGAAUUACUGGGCGUAAAGCGUUCGUAGGCGGUUAUUUAAGCAAGAUGUGAAAGCCCAGGGCUCAACCUUGGAACUGCAUUUUGAACUGGGUAACUAGAGUAUUGUAGAGGGUGGUGGAAUUUCCAGUGUAGCGGUGAAAUGCGUAGAGAUUGGAAGGAACAUCAGUGGCGAAGGCGGCCACCUGGACAAAUACUGACGCUGAGGAACGAAAGCGUGGGGAGCAAACAGGAUUAGAUACCCUAGUAGUCC